GUUUUGUGGGAAGACAGAAAGAAAUGAGCAGAUUUUACUAAAGUCCUUGUAAGGAUAACAGAUGUUCAGGAAUAGUAUUAAAAUGGUAACUAAGGAGGCUUUGGCUGAGCUCCCAAAGGAGGACCCUGCACAGCUGGGCUCGGCAGGAAGUAACACCCAUCAGGACCUGAGUGGCAGCCCUUCACGGCCCUCUGGCUGAUACUAAUACUUAAACGAGGAAGCCAUGAAGGGGAGCUGUCUGAGGAACAACACAGACUGCCUGCCUUUCUCUCCUCCAGACCCUGCUUGCAGUAGAUCCUAGACUCUGGCUUCUGACCCUGGUUUGUCCUUGACUUUGCUAUUAGAUUGCUAUCUGUAACCUGGCUCAUGACCUUGAUCUCCUGGUAACCUGGCCUUGGCCUGCUUCCCGACACCUGACUCAUGGUUCACCAUAUGGCCUAUCUCUGACCUCAUGGUACAAAUGUACCAAGUACUUGGCCUUAUUAACGAUUCCUGGUCUGACCACUAGGUUUGACUGCCCUUGUCCCAGUCGUGACACUGAUGAUGUAUUUCUCUCUAAGACCAGUUCUGAUUUAUUUGUUGGGCAAAAUGUCAAAC
Mauremys mutica (yellowpond turtle) is the source of this 597-nucleotide long non-coding RNA. RefSeq lists it as uncharacterized. The record is from RefSeq and is a predicted model, not a curated record. Lineage: Eukaryota; Metazoa; Chordata; Testudines; Geoemydidae. The transcript has 2 exons.